AGAGUUUGAUCAUGGCUCAGGAUAAACGCUGGCGGCGUGCCUAACACAUGCAAGUCGAACGCCCUCGCGCAAGCGAGGGAGUGGCGGACGGGUGAGGAACACGUGGGUUAUCUACCUUGAGGUGAGGAAUACCGGCGAGAAAUCGCCGACAAGACCGCAUACGCUUCGCGAGAAGCAAAGUCAUAAGACGCCACAAGAUG
This 200-nucleotide ribosomal RNA is filed under the name uncultured bacterium. Its description in RNAcentral is "partial 16S ribosomal RNA". It matches the Rfam family "Bacterial small subunit ribosomal RNA", at positions 8 to 227 of the family's 1533-position model. The record is from RNAcentral.